GACCAGGAAACGUUAAACCAGAUGUUCCAAGUGACUGCAAGUGCUUGCCAAGGCUGAGAGGAAGCUCUCUUGGGAGAGUCAGCCAGACCAAGUUCUAAUCAGAAGCAACAAUGAGACCAUUAAACAUACAGAGUCAAGUGGAGAUGUAUUUGAAUUAUCCAGUUUGGAUGACUGCACUUCCCAGACACUAGGAAUUCAUUGGAAAGUUUGGCCACAACAACAGAAAACUAACUACACCCACCUUACCCAGCCCUACCUGCUUCUUCAGUGCUGCACAGACAGGCACGACUUCUCAAAGAAGCUCAUGCUAUGCC
Molecule: long non-coding RNA, 314 nt
Organism: Fukomys damarensis (Damara mole-rat)
Lineage: Eukaryota; Metazoa; Chordata; Mammalia; Rodentia; Bathyergidae
Exons: 3
Source: RefSeq, a predicted model, not a curated record